GUUGUAUGGUUAAGURAUUAAGCGUAGACGGUGGAUGCCUUGGCAGUCAGAGGCGAUGAAGGACGUACUAACCUGCGAAAAGCGAUGGUGAGCUGGUAAGAAGCAUUUGAGCCAUCGAUGUCCGAAUGGGGAAACCCACCUGCAUAAGCAGGUAUCUUAGCGUGAAUACAUAGCGCUAAGAGGCGAACUCGGGGAACUGAAACAUCUAAGUACCCGAAGGAAAAGAAAUCAAUUGAGAUUCCGGCAGUAGCGGCGAGCGACCCCGGAGCAGCCCNGCGCUAAGAGGCGAACUCGGGGAACUGAAACAUCUAAGUACCCGAAGGAAAAGAAAUCAAUUGAGAUUCCGGCAGUAGCGGCGAGCGACCCCGGAGCAGCCCUUAAGCGGCUUAGGCGUUAGGUGAACAGGUUGGAAAACCUGGCAAUAAAGGGUGAUAGCCCCGUAACCGACGGCGCCUUAGRCGUGAAAACGAGUARGACGGGACACGUGAUAUCUUGUCUGAAUAKGGGGGGACCAUCCUCCAAGGCUAAAUACUCCUGACUGACCGAUAGUGAACCAGUACCGUGAGGGAAAGGCGAAAAGAACCCCUGUGAGGGGAGUGAAAUAGAACCUGAAACCGUCUACGUACAAGCAGUGGGAGCCUCUUUUAUGGGGUGACCGCGUACCUUUUGUAUAAUGGGUCAGCGACUUAAUGUAAGUAGC
Molecule: ribosomal RNA, 700 nt
Filed under: Salinivibrio kushneri
Lineage: Bacteria; Pseudomonadati; Pseudomonadota; Gammaproteobacteria; Vibrionales; Vibrionaceae
Description: bacterial LSU rRNA
Rfam family: Bacterial large subunit ribosomal RNA
Source: RNAcentral